AUCCAGCUAACGAGUCUCACAUAAGACAAAAUACGCAUCCUAGAU
This 45-nucleotide non-coding RNA is filed under the name Trichobilharzia regenti. Lineage: Eukaryota; Metazoa; Platyhelminthes; Trematoda; Strigeidida; Schistosomatidae. The record is from RNAcentral.